RNAcentral lists this ribosomal RNA (829 nucleotides) under Diplodia seriata. RNAcentral's name for it is "eukaryotic LSU rRNA". It matches the Rfam family "Eukaryotic large subunit ribosomal RNA", at positions 76 to 923 of the family's 3401-position model. Lineage: Eukaryota; Fungi; Ascomycota; Dothideomycetes; Botryosphaeriales; Botryosphaeriaceae. The record is from RNAcentral.
UGCCUUAGUAACGGCGAGUGAAGCGGCAACAGCUCAAAUUUGAAAGCUGGCCCUUUCAGGGUCCGCAUUGUAAUUUGUAGAGGAUGAUUCGGCGAGGGCUCCCGCCUAAGUCCCCUGGAACGGGGCGUCAUAGAGGGUGAGAAUCCCGUAUGCGGUGGGCUGCCUUAGCCAUGUGAAUCUCCUUCGACGAGUCGAGUUGUUUGGGAAUGCAGCUCUAAAUGGGAGGUAAAUUUCUUCUAAAGCUAAAUACCGGCCAGAGACCGAUAGCGCACAAGUAGAGUGAUCGAAAGAUGAAAAGCACUUUGGAAAGAGAGUUAAAAAGUACGUGAAAUUGUUGAAAGGGAAGCGCUUGCAACCAGACUUGUCCGCAGUUGCUCAGCCGGUCUCCUGACCGGCGUACUCUUCUGCGGCCAGGCCAGCAUCAGUUCGGGCGGUCGGAUAAAGACCUCGGGAAUGUAGCUCCUCUCGGGGAGUGUUAUAGCCCGGGGUGGAAUGCGGCCAGCCUGGACUGAGGAUCUCGCUUCGGCAAGGAUGCUGGCGUAAUGGUUGUAAGCGGCCCGUCUUGAAACACGGACCAAGGAGUCUAACAUCUAUGCGAGUGUUUGGGUGUCAAACCCAUACGCGUAAUGAAAGUGAACGGAGGUGGGAACCCGCAAGGGUGCACCAUCGGCCGAUCCUGAUGUCUUCGGAUGGAUUUGAGCAAGAGCAUAGCUGUUGGGACCCGAAAGAUGGUGAACUAUGCCUGAAUAGGGUGAAGCCAGAGGAAACUCUGGUGGAGGCUCGCAGCGGUUCUGACGUGCAAAUCGAUCGUCACAUUUCGGUAUAGGGG